Molecule: ribosomal RNA, 453 nt
Filed under: uncultured organism
Description: partial 16S ribosomal RNA
Rfam family: Bacterial small subunit ribosomal RNA
Source: RNAcentral
ACGUACACUCCUACGGGAGGCAGCAGUGGGGAAUAUUGGACAAUGGGCGCAAGCCUGAUCCAGCCAUGCCGCGUGAGUGAUGAAGGCCUAGGGUUGUAAAGCUCUUUCACCGGUGAAGAUAAUGACGGUAACCGGAGAAGAAGCCCCGGCUAACUUCGUGCCAGCAGCCGCGGUAAUACGAAGGGGGCUAGCGUUGUUCGGAUUUACUGGGCGUAAAGCGCACGUAGGCGGACUAUUAAGUCAGGGGUGAAAUCCCGGGGCUCAACCCCGGAACUGCCUUUGAUACUGGUAGUCUUGAGUUCGAGAGAGGUGGGUGGAAUUCCUAGUGUAGAGGUGAAAUUCGUAGAUAUUCGGAGGAACACCAGUGGCGAAGGCGGCUCACUGGCUCGAUACUGACGCUGAGGUGCGAAAGCGUGGGGAGCAAACAGGAUUAGAUACCCGAGUAGUCCCAUG